GCCAGUAUGGCGUAGUGGUUUGAGUGUUGGACUAUGACUCUCAAGGUCAGGGUUUGAGUCCCAGCUGAGCCA
Non-coding RNA from Phrynosoma platyrhinos (Desert horned lizard), 72 nucleotides. The record is from the annotation of a GenBank genome assembly. Lineage: Eukaryota; Metazoa; Chordata; Lepidosauria; Squamata; Phrynosomatidae.